AGCAGCCGCGGUAAUUCCAGCUCCAAUAGCGUAUAUUAAAGUUGUUGCAGUUAAAAAGCUCGUAGUUGAAUUUCGGGAUUGGCGCAUCGGUCGUGCCUCACGGGGUAUGAACUGGUGCAGUCAAUUUCUCACCUCCUGGAGAACCGCGAUGUCCUUAAUUGGAUGCCGCGGGGAACCAGGACCUUUACUUUGAAAAAAUUAGAGUGUUUAAAGCAGGCAUUUUUGCUUGAAUACAUUAGCAUGGAAUAAUAAAAUAGGACGGCAUGGUUCUAUUUUGUUGGUUUCUAGGACCACCGUAAUGAUUAAUAGGGAUAGUUGGGGGCAUUAGUAUCCAAUUGUCAGAGGUGAAAUUCUUGGAUUUAUUGAAGACUAACUACUGCGAAAGCAUUUGCCAAGGAUGUUUUCAUUAAUCAAGAACGAAAGUUAGGGGAUCGAAGACGAUCAGAUACCGUCGUAGUCUUAACCAUAAACUAUGCCGACUAGGAAUCAGACGAUGUUAAUUUUUUAAUGACUCGUUUGG
This 520-nucleotide ribosomal RNA is filed under the name uncultured Entrophospora. RNAcentral describes it as "SSU rRNA". It matches the Rfam family "Eukaryotic small subunit ribosomal RNA", at positions 569 to 1083 of the family's 1831-position model. Lineage: Eukaryota; Fungi; Glomeromycota; Glomeromycetes; Entrophosporales; Entrophosporaceae. The record is from RNAcentral.